This is a long non-coding RNA of Lagopus leucura (white-tailed ptarmigan), 881 nucleotides long. RefSeq lists it as uncharacterized. The record is from RefSeq and is a predicted model, not a curated record. Lineage: Eukaryota; Metazoa; Chordata; Aves; Galliformes; Phasianidae. The transcript has 2 exons.
GAUCCACCCCCUUCCCAGACCUCAUUUAAGGGUUGGCAGCCCAGGUAAAGGCAUCUCAGUGGAGAUCCUUGCAUUCCUAAGGCUUUCUGAAGGUGCUAAUGGGAAAAAGAGUCCCGUAUUGCCCCUCCAACCACCCUGCUUUUGAACAGUGGGAAAUGGCCGACUCACAGAUGAUGCAUUGCUGAACUCCUCAAGCUAAGAACUGCUAUGCAGACUUGUCUCAGCGUGGUGGCAUAAUGCAGGUACAAUUACAUGAGGUAGAGCACAACGCUGCUGGAUCACAUCACUCUGCACAUUAGUUUUCCCUUCUCCUCUCCCAUCUCCACUCCAACCUCAGCACUGUGAAAUCACAUCCGAAGGAUGACUUCAGGGUAGGAAGAAAAAACAAAAAUUACUGCAGAAACAAACUACUAAAGCAACAAAUUCCUGAACCAGUCCACUCAGGAAAUAAGCCAAAGUAGUGGCGACUUUUUUUAUUCUUCCACUUGAAGGCAUUUUGUGAGGAUUUUUUAAUUCAAAAUCUCUACAUGACUGCCCCUACAGUUCACUGCUCGGUCAUAACAGUCUAUUUUAGUUAUUAAAGAUGUACUGGAGAAAGAAAAAUAGUAAAAGAAAUGGACAGAAAAGGGGUCAGGAAGAAGUGAAGAGUCAUCAACAAGCAGCUCACAGAUGGGAAGAGGACAGUUCCAGAGAACCAGAGAAUCCAGAGUGAAUCAGCCACAUCACAAAAACAACGUGAGCAAGCAGGUCCAGUAAUAAAUGAAGUGGGAAAAAUGUAAUGCUGUUUAUGUUACAGUAGAAGACUGAGGACAUCUUUCAAAAGACAAAUGAACUUUUGUGAUCCAACAAUUUAAAAAAUAAAGAAGAUGGCUUCAUAUGUU